This 413-nucleotide ribosomal RNA is filed under the name Roseibium album. Its description in RNAcentral is "bacterial SSU rRNA". It matches the Rfam family "Bacterial small subunit ribosomal RNA", at positions 56 to 516 of the family's 1533-position model. The record is from RNAcentral. Lineage: Bacteria; Pseudomonadati; Pseudomonadota; Alphaproteobacteria; Hyphomicrobiales; Stappiaceae.
UGCAGUCGAACGAACUCUUCGGAGUUAGUGGCAGACGGGUGAGUAACGCGUGGGAACCUACCUUUAGGUACGGAACAACAGUUGGAAACGACUGCUAAUACCGUAUGUGCCCUAUGGGGGAAAGAUUUAUCGCCUAAGGAUGGGCCCGCGUUGGAUUAGCUAGUUGGUGGGGUAAUGGCCUACCAAGGCGACGAUCCAUAGCUGGUCUGAGAGGAUGAUCAGCCACACUGGGACUGAGACACGGCCCAGACUCCUACGGGAGGCAGCAGUGGGGAAUAUUGGACAAUGGGGGCAACCCUGAUCCAGCCAUGCCGCGUGAGUGAUGAAGGCCCUAGGGUUGUAAAGCUCUUUCAGCGAGGAGGAUAAUGACGUUACUCGCAGAAGAAGCCCCGGCUAACUUCGUGCCAGCUGCC